RNAcentral lists this ribosomal RNA (254 nucleotides) under uncultured bacterium. Its description in RNAcentral is "partial 16S ribosomal RNA". It matches the Rfam family "Bacterial small subunit ribosomal RNA", at positions 524 to 776 of the family's 1533-position model. The record is from RNAcentral.
UACGGGGGGGGCAAGCGUUGUUCGGAAUUACUGGGCGUAAAGGGCUCGUAGGCGGCCAACUAAGUCGGAUGUGAAAUCCCUCGGCUUAACCGGGGAACUGCGUCUGAUACUGGAUGGCUUGAGUUUGGGAGAGGGAUGCGGAAUUCCAGGUGUAGCGGUGAAAUGCGUAGAUAUCUGGAGGAACACCGGUGGCGAAGGCGGCAUCCUGGACCAACACUGACGCUGAGUGAGCGAAAGCCAGGGGAGCAAACGGG